GCCGGGCACGGUGGCUCAUGCCUGUAAUCCCAGCACUUUGGGAGGCUGAGGCAGGCGGAUCACUGGAGGUCGGGAGUUCGAGACCAGCCUGACCAACACAGAGAAACCCUGUCUCUA
Molecule: non-coding RNA, 117 nt
Organism: Gorilla gorilla gorilla (western lowland gorilla)
Lineage: Eukaryota; Metazoa; Chordata; Mammalia; Primates; Hominidae
Rfam family: Metazoan signal recognition particle RNA
About the family: The signal recognition particle (SRP) is a universally conserved ribonucleoprotein. It is involved in the co-translational targeting of proteins to membranes. The eukaryotic SRP consists of a 300-nucleotide 7S RNA and six proteins: SRPs 72, 68, 54, 19, 14, and 9.
Source: Rfam